Molecule: ribosomal RNA, 342 nt
Filed under: Salmonella enterica subsp. enterica serovar Heidelberg
Lineage: Bacteria; Pseudomonadati; Pseudomonadota; Gammaproteobacteria; Enterobacterales; Enterobacteriaceae
Also listed under: 1 other name
Description: partial 23S ribosomal RNA
Rfam family: Bacterial large subunit ribosomal RNA
Source: RNAcentral
GGUUCUCCCCGAAAGCUAUUUAGGUAGCGCCUCGUGAACUCAUCUCCGGGGGUAGAGCACUGUUUCGGCUAGGGGGCCAUCCCGGCUUACCAACCCGAUGCAAACUGCGAAUACCGGAGAAUGUUAUCACGGGAGACACACGGCGGGUGCUAACGUCCGUCGUGAAGAGGGAAACAACCCAGACCGCCAGCUAAGGUCCCAAAGUCAUGGUUAAGUGGGAAACGAUGUGGGAAGGCCCAGACAGCCAGGAUGUUGGCUUAGAAGCAGCCAUCAUUUAAAGAAAGCGUAAUAGCUCACUGGUCGAGUCGGCCUGCGCGGAAGAUGUAACGGGGCUAAACCAUG